This is a long non-coding RNA of Mytilus trossulus (common blue mussel), 685 nucleotides long. RefSeq lists it as uncharacterized. The transcript is spliced from 2 exons. The record is from RefSeq and is a predicted model, not a curated record. Lineage: Eukaryota; Metazoa; Mollusca; Bivalvia; Mytilida; Mytilidae.
UAAAGGCGGGAUGGUCCGAUUUUAGGUUAAAACAAAAUCCGUUCAAGGGAAGUAGCGUCGGAAACUAAUAUCCUAUUUAAUAGUAUCAAUUGACUAAAUAACAAAUCAACAAUCAUUAUAAGGAUAAAAUGUAACAAAAUUUGUUGAUAUUAACAGAUUAAUCUUGUAUACAUCAAACAAUGAAGUACAAAUUACUAUUCGUAAUAGUCCUCAUGGUCCUGCUUAUUUUUCAUGUUUCAAUAGCAUCAACAAAGGCAAUGACUUUUAUGAAUAAUUGUAGACUGUGCAAUUCUCAUUAUAACAAAAUAUGUGUUCAACAGCCAUGUUCGCCUGGUGAGUCUGGACUACAGAGCUUCGGCAACAUAAUAGACACAGUGUGUAUGCAGAAAUGCAGUGACCUUUUCAGCACGUGUGAAAGAGUUUGUGGUCACUGAUUGAGAUGUCACAAAUACACGAGAAAUUCCGAAAAUGACAAUGGGAUGUAUUGUAAAAAGUGUUUUAUUAUUAAUAAAGCUUGACUUAGAAAUAGGGCAUGCUAUUGUUUUUGAUUGAACACGUGAUAACAAGGAUUUUUAGAAAGCUAUAUUUGUAUAUAUUGUGCCAUGACUUCAACAUAGAUAUAUGAUAUAAAUACUGGGUUUUUUUAAAUGUUUGUUCAUGUUUUGUAAAUAAAUUAUUUUAUUCA